CUUUUUUUUUUGUACCAGGGAUCAAACUCGGGACCUUGUGCUUUCAAGGCAGGCGAUGGAACCACUGAGCUAAAUCCCCAGUCUCCCUGAGUGUUAAUUGGCCAAAGGAGGCUCCUUCCUCUGGGAUCAAGUGCUGAGAGGAUUUGGAGAAUCUGAGCUCUUGCUAAGUUGCCUAGGCUGAGCUCAAACUUGAGAUCCUCCUGCUUCAGCUUCCCAGAGUGCUGGGAUUACAGGUAUGUACCACCAUUCUGACUGAUUAGAGACCUUAAUUACAUCUGGAAACAUCCCUUCACUGUUGCCACAUAACACAACCUGAUGACAAGGGAGACAUCUGGUACAUUUAGCAGUUGUGUGUCUGUCCACGCAGCAGGGCACAGGCUCAGGGAGCAUGUGGAUGCCCAGAGGCAGCAUCUGAGAAUUCUGCUGACCACAACCCUUAACCUACUUCCCUUACUAAUUUUCCCUCCCUGUCCCAGGAAAUGCUGUCACAUAGCCCUAGAGGCUGAGCUCAGGAACCCAGGCAGUGUUACUUUAGGAGGGUGGCUCUGCUGGGUCUGGGAAGGUGAGCAUGGGGUCCCCUCUAGCUUUGUGCCCCCCAGCCGGGGAACCCACCCACACAUGCUCAGGUGGACCUUACCGUCUCCUAUGCUGCCCAAGCUGAAGCAGAAAGGCUUGGAGCCUCUGAAGGGGUCCAAGUGGCCCUGCCUGUGGUCCUGGAAAGGGGCCAGUGUAUAGGGAGGGGGUGUAUCCUCUUGGGGGAGAGGCCAGACACACAGCCUGGGGGGCCAGGCCCAACAUCCACCACCUGCUUGGCAAUAUUUGGCCUCCCCUCUCCCCACCCUGCUAUUCACCAGUUACCUUUGAGUCCCUGGUUAUCCUUUGGGUCACCCCCUUACCCUGAAAGGGGAGGUUACUGCUAAGAGUGGGAGUAACAGAAUCUCUGCCACUUCAAGGUUGCUUCAAGGAGUCAAUGCCACAGCUGGGAGAGGGUGCCCAUUCCUGAGUGCCACCAUCUUUAUGCCCCCCAGCACCCCACUGCCCUCCCUUCAUGGACUCAAGUCCCACUGUCCACAUUAACAGAUUAUUUGUGAGUGCUUGCUAGGUGCUAGGCCAACACUCCAGCCUUCUCUGAUCCGAAGCUUAGGAUCCCUCAGGGGGCUGGAGGGGAAGGCAGCUGUGGUGUGCUGGGCUCAGUAGAGGGGGCUCCCAGCAGUCCCUCAUCCAGGCUUUGAAGGGAGACAAGCUGCAGGUCAUUUCCAGGGUGAGGGAGCCACCAUCUCUGGCAGCAGGGCCUCAACUUGGA
Long non-coding RNA from Heterocephalus glaber (naked mole-rat), 1303 nucleotides. Lineage: Eukaryota; Metazoa; Chordata; Mammalia; Rodentia; Bathyergidae. The record is from Ensembl.